Molecule: long non-coding RNA, 613 nt
Organism: Juglans regia (Persian walnut)
Lineage: Eukaryota; Viridiplantae; Streptophyta; Magnoliopsida; Fagales; Juglandaceae
Exons: 2
Source: RefSeq, a predicted model, not a curated record
ACAGUUUUCUCUCCCUUGCAUGGGACUGUUCAGUGUUCACCCAUCUUCUCUCCUCAGUCCCUCUUCUCUCUCGCUCGAAGCAACCUGAAGCCUCUUGCUGCUUUGCAGAGUUGCAGACGUGCAGACUCAGCUCUCUCUCUCUAGUCUCUUGCAUCUCUCUCUCUCUCUCUCUCUCUCUCUGUGUCUCGAAGCUCUCUCUAUCUGUGUUUCUCACUCUCUAACUCAGUCUCUCUUGUUAGCUCUCUGUGGUGGUUGGAUCGUGGAAGCUUUCUCUACGAAUUACAAGCACCGAAAAAAACGAUCCAGGAGAUAACUUUGAAGAAUAUUUUGAAUGAGGCCCAUUGAAGAUUACAACAAGGCCAAAGCUAUAAGGGCGUAGUAUGGAUAUGGUGAAUUAUUCUUCAUGAAAAAUGAUUUUUCUUUCUUUCAGGGAAAGGGUGAUUAUGUUUUUGUGGUUCAGUGACAUUCUUUUGGAAUCUCAUGCAUUUUGUGCAUGAAUUUGUUGUUUGGAUAUGGUACGAAUGCCUGUGACGCAUUUGAAAACACGACUCACUUGAGUUUCAAUUGUUCAAAUGUGACUUUAAAAAUAUUGAAUGUUGUUCUCUUGGGUACC